Molecule: ribosomal RNA, 437 nt
Filed under: uncultured Lachnospiraceae bacterium
Lineage: Bacteria; Bacillati; Bacillota; Clostridia; Lachnospirales; Lachnospiraceae
Description: bacterial SSU rRNA
Rfam family: Bacterial small subunit ribosomal RNA
Source: RNAcentral
UGGGGGAUAUUGCACAAUGGAGGGAACUCUGAUGCAGCGACGCCGCGUGAGUGAUGAAGUAUUUCGGUAUGUAAAGCUCUAUCAGCAGGGAAGAAAGGCCCCGAAAGGGGAGAUGACGGUACCUGAGUAAGAAGCCCCGGCUAACUACGUGCCAGCAGCCGCGGUAAUACGUAGGGGCGAGCGUUAUCCGGAUUUACUGGGUGUAAAGGGAGCGCAGACGGAGAAGCAAGUCUGAUGUGAAAGCCCGCGGCUCAACCGCGGGACUGCAUUGAAAACUGUUUAUCUGGAGUACUGGAAGGGCAAGCGGAAUUCCUGGUGUAGCGGUGAAAUGCGUAGAUAUCAGGAGGAACACCGGUGGCGAAGGCGGCUUGCUGGACAGUAACUGACGUUGAGGCUCGAAAGCGUGGGGAGCAAACAGGAUUAGAUACCCUGGUAGU